Molecule: microRNA precursor, 101 nt
Organism: Taeniopygia guttata (zebra finch)
Lineage: Eukaryota; Metazoa; Chordata; Aves; Passeriformes; Estrildidae
Source: Ensembl
GCCUGCUUGCUGUUAUAAAGCCUGUAGGAUUGGGUCGUGUUGGAUAUUUAACUUCUCUUCCCUCGAUCUGCAUCUCACUGGCUUGAAAUCAGCCUGGCAGC